AGCCAGUGAAGACUUCUUACUAUUUAUUUUCUGACACCUACUAUGAGAGCUGCACUGCAGCUUUUGAUUACAAACUUUUGUCUGAGGCUU
Small nucleolar RNA from Astyanax mexicanus (Mexican tetra), 90 nucleotides. NCBI's taxonomy places the organism in Eukaryota, Metazoa, Chordata, Actinopteri, Characiformes, Acestrorhamphidae. The record is from Ensembl.